Molecule: ribosomal RNA, 564 nt
Filed under: Chondropomium aysmmetricum
Lineage: Eukaryota; Metazoa; Mollusca; Gastropoda; Littorinimorpha; Annulariidae
Description: partial 12S ribosomal RNA
Source: RNAcentral
CGGUUAGACUAAAGAACCUAGUUAUAUUUAUUUGGUAAAAAGAUAGUUAGAUAAAGUGAGUGUUUAGUUUUAAUUAUAAUAUAAUAUUAAGGUAAAAUUUGGAUUAUUUUAUUUUUAUUUAAACUUAUUAUUGAUGCUAUGAAUAUUUUUAAAGAAACUAGGAUUAGAUACCCUAUUAUUUUAGAUUAUAAAUUGAUUUUUUUUUUCUACCAAAGUAUUAUGAAUAUAAAUUUAAAAUUUAAAGAACUUGGCGGUGUCUUAGACUACUUAGGGGAACCUGUUUUUUAAUCGAUAGUCCUCGUUUUACCUUACCUUUUUUUGUUUUCAGUUUGUAUACCGUCGUCGUCAGUUAACUUUAGAAAAAAUAGAAGUUGUCUUUUUAAAUUUUAGUUUUAGAUGUCAGAUCAAGGUGCAGCUUAUAGAAUGGUUAAUAUGGGUUACAAUUAUUAAUUUAUAAUAUGGAUUAUUUUAUGAAAUUAUUUUUUGAAGGAGGACUUAAAAGUAAUUUAAUUUAGAUGUAUUUAAUGAAUAUGGCUCUUGGAUGUGCACACAUCGCCCGGUCAC